GAGUGGCGGACGGGUGAGUAACGCGUGGAUAACCUGCCUCACACUGGGGGAUAACAGCUAGAAAUGGCUGCUAAUACCGCAUAAGCGCACAGUACCGCAUGGUACGGUGUGAAAAACCCAGGUGGUGUGAGAUGGACCCGCGUCUGAUUAGCUAGUUGGUAAGGUAACGGCUUACCAAGGCGACGAUCAGUAGCCGACCUGAGAGGGUGAUCGGCCACAUUGGAACUGAGACACGGUCCAAACUCCUACGGGAGGCAGCAGUGGGGAAUAUUGCACAAUGGGCGAAAGCCUGAUGCAGCAACGCCGCGUGAGUGAUGAAGGCCUUCGGGUCGUAAAACUCUGUCCUCAAGGAAGAUAAUGACGGUACUUGAGGAGGAAGCCCCGGCUAACUACGUGCCAGCAGCCGCGGUAAUACGUAGGGGGCUAGCGUUAUCCGGAUUUACUGGGCGUAAAGGGUGCGUAGGCGGUCUUUCAAGUCAGGAGUGAAAGGCUACGGCUCAACCGUAGUAAGCUCUUGAAACUGGGAGACUUGAGUGCAGGAGAGGAGAGUGGAAUUCCUAGUGUAGCGGUGAAAUGCGUAGAUAUUAGGAGGACACCAGUUGCGAAGGCGGCUCUCUGGACUGUAACUGACGCU
RNAcentral lists this ribosomal RNA (634 nucleotides) under uncultured Clostridium sp. Its description in RNAcentral is "bacterial SSU rRNA". It matches the Rfam family "Bacterial small subunit ribosomal RNA", at positions 93 to 747 of the family's 1533-position model. The record is from RNAcentral. Lineage: Bacteria; Bacillati; Bacillota; Clostridia; Eubacteriales; Clostridiaceae.